RNAcentral lists this ribosomal RNA (596 nucleotides) under uncultured bacterium. Its description in RNAcentral is "bacterial SSU rRNA". It matches the Rfam family "Bacterial small subunit ribosomal RNA", at positions 912 to 1494 of the family's 1533-position model. The record is from RNAcentral.
GACGGGGGUGCCCGCACAAGCGGAGGGAGCAUGGGGGUUUAAUUCGAUGAUACGGGGAGGGACCCUUCCCUGGACUCAAAUGUAGUUGGAAUUAUCCAGAAAUGGGGUAAGCCCUUCGGGGCCGGGAUCAAGGUGCUGCAUGGUUGUCGUCAGCUCGUGCCGUGAGGUGUCGGGUUAAGGUCCUAUAUCGAGCGCAACCCCUACGUCCAGUUGCCAGCGGGUGAAGCCGGGGACUCUGGAGGAACUGCCCACGCAAGUGGAGAGGAAGGUGGGGAUGACGUCAAAUCAUGCACGGCCCUUACGUCCAGGGCGACACACGUGCUACAAUGGCCGGUACAGAGGGCAGCCACCCUGUGAGGGGGAGCGAAUCUCGAAAGCCGGUCUCAGUUCGGAUCGGAGUCUGCAACUCGACUCCGUGAAGUUGGAUUCAGCUAGUAAUCCGCGCAUCAUGCCAUGCGCGCGGUGAAUACGUUCCCGGCGACCUUGUACACACCGCCCGUCAAAGCCGAUGAAAGUCUGGGGUACCUGAAGUCCGUGACCGAGAGUGACGCGGCACUGAGGGUAAAACGAGGUGAUUGGGGUCUAAGUCGUAACAA